GACGAACGCUGGCGGCGUGCCUAAUACAUGCAAGUAGAACGCACAGUUUAUACCGUAGCUUGCUACACCAUAGACUGUGAGUUGCGAACGGGUGAGUAACGCGUAGGUAACCUGCCUGGUAGCGGGGGAUAACUAUUGGAAACGAUAGCUAAUACCGCAUAAUAUUGAUUAUUGCAUGAUAAUUGAUUGAAAGAUGCUAUUGCAUCACUACCAGAUGGACCUGCGUUCUAUUAGCUAGUAGGUGAGGUAACGGCUCACCUAGGCGACGAUACAUAGCCGACCUGAGAGGGUGAUCGGCCACACUGGGACUGAGACACGGCCCAGACUCCUACGGGAGGCAGCAGUAGGGAAUCUUCGGCAAUGGACGAAAGUCUGACCGAGCAACGCCGCGUGAGUGAAGAAGGGUGUCGGAUCGUAAAGCUCUGUUGUAAGAGAAGAACGGGUGUGAGAGUGGAAAGUUCACACUGUGACGGUAUCUUACCAGAAAGGGACGGCUAACUACGUG
RNAcentral lists this ribosomal RNA (505 nucleotides) under uncultured bacterium. RNAcentral's name for it is "partial 16S ribosomal RNA". It matches the Rfam family "Bacterial small subunit ribosomal RNA", at positions 28 to 507 of the family's 1533-position model. The record is from RNAcentral.